GCCGAAGUGGCGGAACUGGUAGACGCGCUGGGUUCAGGGUCCAGUGAGGGUUUCCUCGUCGGGGUUCAAAUCCCCGCUUCGGCACCA
RNAcentral lists this transfer RNA (87 nucleotides) under Desulfobacca sp. RBG_16_60_12. RNAcentral describes it as "tRNA-Leu". It matches the Rfam family "tRNA". From Rfam's summary of the family: Transfer RNA (tRNA) molecules are approximately 80 nucleotides in length. Their secondary structure includes four short double-helical elements and three loops (D, anti-codon, and T loops). RNAcentral also lists the same sequence under 6 other names. Lineage: Bacteria; Pseudomonadati; Thermodesulfobacteriota; Desulfobaccia; Desulfobaccales; Desulfobaccaceae. The record is from RNAcentral.